GUGGGUAUGUUAAUAGCAUACUCAUUUGACGUUUAGCUGCAGAAGAAGCACCGGCUAACUCCGUGCCAGCAGCCGCGGUAAUACGGAGGGUGCGAGCGUUAAUCGGAAUUACUGGGCGUAAAGCGCAUGCAGGUGGUUUGUUAAGUCAGAUGUGAAAGCCCGGGGCUCAACCUCGGAAUUGCAUUUGAAAACUGGCAAACUAGAGUACUGUAGAGGGGGUAGAAUUUCUAGGUGUAGCGGUGAAAUGCGUAGAGAUCUGAAGGAAUACCGGUGGCGAAGGCGGCCCCCUGGACAGAUACUGACACUCAGAUGCGAAAGCGUGGGGAGCAAACAGGAUUAGAUACCCUGGUAG
RNAcentral lists this ribosomal RNA (352 nucleotides) under uncultured bacterium. Its description in RNAcentral is "bacterial SSU rRNA". It matches the Rfam family "Bacterial small subunit ribosomal RNA", at positions 444 to 793 of the family's 1533-position model. The record is from RNAcentral.